Molecule: ribosomal RNA, 490 nt
Filed under: uncultured bacterium
Lineage: Bacteria
Description: bacterial SSU rRNA
Rfam family: Bacterial small subunit ribosomal RNA
Source: RNAcentral
CUGCGGCGGCCUACACAUGCAAGUCGAGCGGAUGGAAGGAGCUUGCUCCUGGAUUCAGCGGCGGACGGGUGAGUAAUGCCUAGGAAUCUGCCUGGUAGUGGGGGACAACGUUUCGAAAGGAACGCUAAUACCGCAUACGUCCUACGGGAGAAAGCAGGGGACCUUCGGGCCUUGCGCUAUCAGAUGAGCCUAGGUCGGAUUAGCUAGUUGGUGAGGUAAUGGCUCACCAAGGCGACGAUCCGUAACUGGUCUGAGAGGAUGAUCAGUCACACUGGAACUGAGACACGGUCCAGACUCCUACGGGAGGCAGCAGUGGGGAAUAUUGGACAAUGGGCGAAAGCCUGAUCCAGCCAUGCCGCGUGUGUGAAGAAGGUCUUCGGAUUGUAAAGCACUUUAAGUUGGGAGGAAGGGUUGUAGAUUAAUACUCUGCAAUUUUGACGUUACCGACAGAAUAAGCACCGGCUAACUCUGUGCCAGCAGCCGCGGUAAU